ACCAGACUCCUACGGGAGGCAGCAGUGAGGAAUAUUGGUCAAUGGUCGGGAGACUGAACCAGCCAAGCCGCGUGAGGGAGGAAGGUACAGAGUAUCGUAAACCUCUUUUGUCAGGGAACAAAGACUGGGACGCGUCCCCGGAUGAGUGUACCUGAAGAAAAAGCAUCGGCUAACUCCGUGCCAGCAGCCGCGGUAAUACGUAGGGGGCAAGCGUUAUCCGGAUUUACUGGGUGUAAAGGGAGCGUAGACGGCAGGGCAAGUCUGGAGUGAAAGCCCGGGGCCCAACCCCGGGACUGCUUUGGAAACUGCCAUGCUAGAGUGCUGGAGAGGUAAGCGGAAUUCCUAGUGUAGCGGUGAAAUGCGUAGAUAUUAGGAGGAACACCAGUGGCGAAGGCGGCUUACUGGACAGUAACUGACGUUGAGGCUCGAAAGCGUGGGGAGCAAACAGGAUUAGAUACCCCAGUAC
Molecule: ribosomal RNA, 466 nt
Filed under: uncultured bacterium
Lineage: Bacteria
Description: bacterial SSU rRNA
Rfam family: Bacterial small subunit ribosomal RNA
Source: RNAcentral